GGAUCAAUAUGUUGGUCGUGCCUUGGUACGUACUAAUUUAUUGGUUUCUUCCUUCUGACGAACCUUGAUGUCAUUAAUUUGGUGUCUUGGGGAAUCAGGACUGUUACUUUGAAAAAAUUAGAGUGUUUAAAACAGGCAUUUUGCUUGAAUACAUUAGCAUGGAAUAAUGAAAUAGGACGUUUGAUUCUAUUUUGUUGGUUUCUAGGAUUGACGUA
This 215-nucleotide ribosomal RNA is filed under the name Campeiostachys nutans. RNAcentral describes it as "Elymus nutans partial small subunit ribosomal RNA". The stretch from base 45 to 215 matches the Rfam family "Eukaryotic small subunit ribosomal RNA", at positions 693 to 864 of the family's 1831-position model. Lineage: Eukaryota; Viridiplantae; Streptophyta; Magnoliopsida; Poales; Poaceae. The record is from RNAcentral.